AUUAUAUUUGACGACCGGUCUGGCCUAGUGGGUAGUGACCCUGCCUAUGAAGCCGAUGGUCCCGGGUUCAAAUCCUGGUAAGGGCAUUUAUUCGUGUGAUGAGCAAUGGAUAUUUGUUCCUGAGUCAUGGGUGUUUUCUAUGUAUUUAUAAAUAUUUAUAUAUUAUAUAUAUCGUUGUCUAGCCUUAUUGAGCUUACUGUGGGACUCAGUCAAUUUGUGUAAUAAUGUCCUAUAA
Long non-coding RNA from Cydia pomonella (codling moth), 235 nucleotides. RefSeq lists it as uncharacterized. The record is from RefSeq and is a predicted model, not a curated record. Lineage: Eukaryota; Metazoa; Arthropoda; Insecta; Lepidoptera; Tortricidae. The transcript is spliced from 2 exons.